This 253-nucleotide unclassified non-coding RNA is filed under the name uncultured Alphaproteobacteria bacterium. RNAcentral describes it as "contains 16S-23S intergenic spacer region". It matches the Rfam family "Bacterial small subunit ribosomal RNA", at positions 524 to 776 of the family's 1533-position model. Lineage: Bacteria; Pseudomonadati; Pseudomonadota; Alphaproteobacteria. The record is from RNAcentral.
UACGAAGGGGGCUAGCGUUGUUCGGAAUUACUGGGCGUAAAGCGCACGUAGGCGGAUGCUCAAGUCAGGGGUGAAAUCCCGGGGCUCAACCCCGGAACUGCCUUUGAUACUGGGCGUCUCGAGUGUGGAAGAGGUGAGUGGAAUUGCGAGUGUAGAGGUGAAAUUCGUAGAUAUUCGCAGGAACACCAGUGGCGAAGGCGGCUCACUGGUCCACAACUGACGCUGAGGUGCGAAAGCGUGGGGAGCAAACAGG